GAUGAAGAACGCAGCGAAAUGCGAUAAGUAAUGUGAAUUGCAGAAUUCAGUGAAUCAUCGAAUCUUUGAACGCACAUUGCGCCCGCUAGUAUUCUGGCGGGCAUGCCUGUCCGAGCGUCAUUUCAACCCUCAAGCCCCCGGGCUUGGUGUUGGGGAUCGGCGAGCCUCCGCGCCCGCCGUCCCCUAAAUCUAGUGGCGGUCUCGCUGUAGCUUCCUCUGCGUAGUAGCACACCUCGCACUGGGAAACAGCGCGGCCACGCCGUUAAACCCCCAACUUCUGAAUGUUUGACCUCGGAUCAGGUAGGAAUACCCGCUGAACUUAAGCAUAUCAAUAAGCGGAGGA
This 343-nucleotide unclassified non-coding RNA is filed under the name soil metagenome. RNAcentral's name for it is "partial contains 5.8S ribosomal RNA, internal transcribed spacer 2, and large subunit ribosomal RNA". The stretch from base 1 to 120 matches the Rfam family "5.8S ribosomal RNA", at positions 35 to 154 of the family's 154-position model. The record is from RNAcentral.